Molecule: ribosomal RNA, 399 nt
Filed under: uncultured Gammaproteobacteria bacterium
Lineage: Bacteria; Pseudomonadati; Pseudomonadota; Gammaproteobacteria
Description: bacterial SSU rRNA
Rfam family: Bacterial small subunit ribosomal RNA
Source: RNAcentral
GAGUUUGAUCUUGGCUCAGGAUGAACGCUGGCGGCAGGCCUAACACAUGCAAGUCGAGCGGCAGCGCGGGGGCAACCCUGGCGGCGAGCGGCGGACGGGUGAGGAACACAUCGGAAUCUACCUUGUCGUGGGGGAUAACGUAGGGAAACUUACGCUAAUACCGCAUACGACCUACGGGUGAAAGCGGCGGACCGCAAGGCGUCGCGCGAUUGGAUGAGCCGAUGUCCGAUUAGCUAGUUGGCGGGGUAAAGGCCCACCAAGGCGACGAUCGGUAGCUGGUCUGAGAGGACGACCAGCCACACUGGAACUGAGACACGGUCCAGACUCCUACGGGAGGCAGCAGUGGGGAAUAUUGGACAAUGGGCGCAAGCCUGAUCCAGCCAUGCCGCGUGGGUGAAG